UACAGAGGGUGCAAGCGUUGUUCGGAAUUAUUGGGCGUAAAGCGCGUGUAGGCGGCCAUCUAAGUCGGGCGUGAAAUCCCACGGCUCAACCGUGGAAGUGCACUCGAAACUGGAUGGCUAGAGUCCUGGAGAGGAAGGUGGAAUGCUUGGUGUAGAGGUGAAAUUCGUAGAUAUCAAGCGGAACACCGGUGGCGAAGGCGGCCUUCUGGACAGUGACGUGACGCUGAGACGCGAAAGCGUGGGGAGCAAACAGG
RNAcentral lists this ribosomal RNA (254 nucleotides) under uncultured bacterium. Its description in RNAcentral is "partial 16S ribosomal RNA". It matches the Rfam family "Bacterial small subunit ribosomal RNA", at positions 524 to 776 of the family's 1533-position model. The record is from RNAcentral.